This 497-nucleotide ribosomal RNA is filed under the name uncultured bacterium. RNAcentral's name for it is "partial 16S ribosomal RNA". It matches the Rfam family "Bacterial small subunit ribosomal RNA", at positions 28 to 507 of the family's 1533-position model. The record is from RNAcentral.
GAUGAACGCUGGCGGCGUGCCUAAUACAUGCAAGUCGAGCGAACAGACAAGGAGCUUGCUCCUCUGACGUUAGCGGCGGACGGGUGAGUAACACGUGGAUAACCUACCUAUAAGACUGGGAUAACUUCGGGAAACCGGAGCUAAUACCGGAUAAUAUAUUUAACCGCAUGGUUCAAUAGUGAAAGACGGUUUUGCUGUCACUUAUAGAUGGAUCCGCGCCGCAUUAGCUAGUUGGUAAGGUAACGGCUUACCAAGGCAACGAUGCGUAGCCGACCUGAGAGGGUGAUCGGCCAAACUGGAACUGAGAAACGGUCCAGACUCCUACGGGAGGCAGCAGUAGGGAAUCUUCCGCAAUGGGAGAAAGCCUGACGGAGCAACGCCGCGUGAGUGAUGAAGGUCUGCGGAUCGUAAAACUCUGUUAUUAGGGAAGAACAAAUGUGUAAGUAACUAUGCACGUCUUGACGGUACCUAAUCAGAAAGCCACGGCUAACUACGUG